CCCCCGGGCGUCGAUGAAUGUGGGGUACCAUUCCUUGAUGAUGUGGUCAUGUUUGUAGUCGGCCUUAUUGUCCUUUAGAUGUUCCACGGUGUUCCGCUCGCUCUUCUCAUAGGCCUCCCGGGGCUUCCGGACAGACACCUUGCAUUCUCGGACCUUGUUGACGAUGAAUUCUUGGAUGAGAAACCUGAUAUCUUCCAUGAGGCAGUCAUCAUAAAGAAGUCUGAAUAUCUUGGUUGAGAGCUAGACUUUGGAAACAGAGAGACCCUGUAUAAUAACAGACUAAGAAGUAAGGAAGACAAGCCCAGCCAGUCCCACAACUAUUUCAUUAAUACCAGGUAAAGCAACAGACCUGCCAGUGAAGCAUCUUGGAUCCUUUAGCUUUAGGAAAUCUACUCCAGUCCUGUCCUGUGGAAACUAAUGGGAGUGCCAGGAGGCCUAACCAUCUGAGGUGUUCUUCAUAUUUUCUAAAUUUGAAUUCGUGACUGCUAAAUGUGUUUCAAAUAUCUUUUCAGAUUCAUAGGGUUUGGUGUUCACUUUGUUUUUAUGAGUCUUUUGAUGAAUAUAAGUACUUAAAUUUAAUACAUUUCAAUGUAUCAUUUUUUAUCCAUUAAGCCAUGUGAAAUUCGUUUUGCUUAAGGUAUGAAUGUUAUUUUAAUUUGAAAAAUCUAUAUAAUAAAGUAAUCCAUAAAUACUUAAAUAGUCUAUCCAGUUCCACUGAUUUGAACAAACACUUCUGUUAUAUCCAUAUUCCAUAAAUGUAUAGGUCUGUAGCUUUCUAUUCUGUUCUCCUUUUUUAUUUGCCUUUUUUGUACUAUUUCCACACUGUCCUAAAUAUUUAUAGCUUUAGAAGAAGUCGUUAUAUUUAAAACUAGAAUUCCUUUUUCCUUGUCUGUUUUCAGGAAUUUUUCUGUUUUUCUUGUCCCUUUACUUUUCCAAAUAAUUUAGAAUAAAGUUGUCAAGUAGAAAAAAUAUAUUGUUAUGAUUAUAAAUAGAAUCACAUUAAAUCUAUAUCUCAAUUUAGAGACAUUUGUCAUCUUUGUAAUAUCUUUUCCUAUGAAUAUGAUAUAACGUUUUAUAUCCUGUUUCAUUUCUUUCAAUAUAUAA
This is a long non-coding RNA of Homo sapiens (human), 1104 nucleotides long. The record is from Ensembl. Lineage: Eukaryota; Metazoa; Chordata; Mammalia; Primates; Hominidae.